GACGUAGGAGGCGAGCGUUGUCCGGAUUCAUUGGGCGUAAAGAGCACGCAGGCGGUUUGGCAAGUCGGAUGUGAAAACCCGGAGCUCAACUCCGGACCUGCAUCCGAAACUGCCCGACUAGAGGUAGGUAGGGGAGAUCGGAAUUCCUGGUGUAGCGGUGAAAUGCGCAGAUAUCAGGAGGAACACCGGUGGCGAAGGCGGCUCACUGGCUCGUAUCUGACACUCAAGCGCGACAGCGUGGGGAGCAAACAGG
This 253-nucleotide ribosomal RNA is filed under the name uncultured bacterium. RNAcentral's name for it is "partial 16S ribosomal RNA". It matches the Rfam family "Bacterial small subunit ribosomal RNA", at positions 524 to 776 of the family's 1533-position model. The record is from RNAcentral.